AAGGUUACACUGUCUCCUUUUUCUAAUCAGUAAAACUAAUCCUCCCGUGAAGAAGCGGGGAUCCUUAUAUAAGACGAGAAGACCCUAUGGAGCUUUAAACGAAAUAACAUCUACCAACUCACCUAACAAUUUCAGAAAAUUAAUACUAAACUUGGUAUAAUGGUUACUAGUUUUAGGUUGGGGUGACCGCGGAGCAAAAAACAACCUCCGCAUUGAAUGGACUUACACUCCUAAACAAAAAGCCACAACUUUAUGUAUCAACACAUUGACAUCCAUUGACCCAUUAAUUUGAUCAACGAACCAAGUUACCCUAGGGAUAACAGCGCAAUCCAUUUCAAGAGCUCCUAUCG
RNAcentral lists this ribosomal RNA (350 nucleotides) under Odontophrynus sp. n. MP-2019. RNAcentral describes it as "partial large subunit ribosomal RNA". It matches the Rfam family "Bacterial large subunit ribosomal RNA", at positions 2007 to 2507 of the family's 2925-position model. Lineage: Eukaryota; Metazoa; Chordata; Amphibia; Anura; Alsodidae. The record is from RNAcentral.